RNAcentral lists this ribosomal RNA (450 nucleotides) under uncultured bacterium. RNAcentral's name for it is "partial 16S ribosomal RNA". It matches the Rfam family "Bacterial small subunit ribosomal RNA", at positions 354 to 796 of the family's 1533-position model. The record is from RNAcentral.
GUAGGGAAUAUUGGGCAAUGGAUGCAAGUCUGACCCAGCCAUCCCGCGUGCCGGAAGAAGGCCUUCGGGUUGUAAACUGCUUUUGUACGGAACGAAAAGGCUCUGGUUAAUACCUGGGGCUCAUGACGGUACCGUAAGAAUAAGCACCGGCUAACUACGUGCCAGCAGCCGCGGUAAUACGUAGGGUGCAAGCGUUAAUCGGAAUUACUGGGCGUAAAGCGUGCGCAGACGGUUUUGUAAGACAGACGUGAAAUCCCCGGGCUCAACCUGGGAAUGGCGUUUGUGACUGCAAAGCUGGAGUGCGGCAGAGGGGGAUGGAAUUCCGCGUGUAGCAGUGAAAUGCGUAGAUAUGCGGAGGAACACCGAUGGCGAAGGCAAUCCCCUGGGCCUGCACUGACGCUCAUGCACGAAAGCGUGGGGAGCAAACAGGAUUAGAAACCCGUGUAGUCC